This 292-nucleotide ribosomal RNA is filed under the name uncultured bacterium. RNAcentral describes it as "partial 16S ribosomal RNA". It matches the Rfam family "Bacterial small subunit ribosomal RNA", at positions 505 to 796 of the family's 1533-position model. The record is from RNAcentral.
GUUUCAGCCGCCGCGGUAAGACAGAGGGUGCAAACGUUGUUCGGAUUUACUGGGCGUAAAGCGCGUGUAGGCGGCUUUGCAAGUCGGAUGUGAAAGCCCACGGCUCAACCGUGGAAGUGCAUCCGAAACGGCAUGGCUGGAGUCCCGGAGAGGAAGGUGGAAUGCUUGGUGUAGAGGUGAAAUUCGUAGAUAUCAAGCAGAACACCUGCGGCGAAGGCGGCCUUCUGGACGGUGACUGACGCUGAGACGCGAAAGCGUGGGGAGCAAACAGGAUUAGAUACCCUGGUAGUCC